GGCUGGUCCGAGUGCAGUGGUGUUUACAACCAGUUCCAGAUUUCUUUGUUCCUUCUCCAAUCCCACUGCUUCACUUGACCAGCCUUGA
This is a Y RNA of Callithrix jacchus (white-tufted-ear marmoset), 88 nucleotides long. It matches the Rfam family "Y RNA". From Rfam's summary of the family: Y RNAs are components of the Ro ribonucleoprotein particle (Ro RNP), in association with Ro60 and La proteins. Lineage: Eukaryota; Metazoa; Chordata; Mammalia; Primates; Cebidae. The record is from Ensembl.